Molecule: long non-coding RNA, 743 nt
Organism: Malaya genurostris
Lineage: Eukaryota; Metazoa; Arthropoda; Insecta; Diptera; Culicidae
Exons: 3
Source: RefSeq, a predicted model, not a curated record
GUCAACACGAUUGGCAACACGGCUGAGCGAGGAAACGAACACUGACAUUUCGGACAGCAAGGAGGAAGUGACUUCGAGCAAGCAGUGAUCGUAGUCUGAUAUAAUACGAAUAUAAUUGAUUUUUGUACAAUUAGAUGGGUUAUUGGAUUCUUUAUGCCACUGAUGCUCUUGCCGUCAGUUUGAUUUAAUUACACUAUUUUUUUGAAGUGUAAAUACAUGUACAGCUAUCAAAAAUAGUGUUUCAUUCGGUUCUGUAGGAACAACGGAUGGACGCCAAAAUUGUGCGGAAAUAGAUGAACCGAUUCUAAUAAACAAAGACAUCAUAAUAGAAAGUAGAGUGCCUAUAACCAAAGUGACGACAUCUCAUCCGUAAUUUUGGCAACAAUUCAAAACAUUCCAUUAGCUUUACAUUGAAUUGACAGGUCGUUUGCUCGUUUGGAACUGGGAGCUGUCAUUCCAAACGAACAGCUGUCGCCACUCUGAUUAUAGUCACUCUAAUAGAAAGAGUGACUAUAAGUGACUCUCUCUCUCACAUUCCCGGAAAAUUCAUUGGCAACAUUCUUUUUUGCUAUUAUGGCACCCUCGCACCACUACACACCCACAUAAUUGACAUGAUAGUUAAAUGUGAUGCCGUGCGAUGGCGUUGCUGAACUAAAGAUUGAUGUCGCUUCAAGCUGACAGAGUCUGAAUAAACGUAAGGUGAAAAAUAUAUCCAAAAGAGUAAUAUACUUGAUUGUACUAUA